AGCAACAAGCUAGCUACACUAUGACAAAUUAAAAACAAGAGCCACCUGCUGUCUGCUGCCCGCUGCGCUGAGCGUGAGAGCUAGCUACUACCUUAUUACCUCUCUCCGCAGCUGUAGGCGGCGGCGGCGGCGGCCAUGGACUUCGUGCUCCAGGUCCUGCUGCGGGUGGUGAUGAGAAGAAGCAUCCGCAGGCUGCAAGAGGUCGUUGACAUCGCCGUGGACAUCGGCACGGCUGUCUUCGUGGCCGUGCGGGUCUCCGGCCUCGUCUUCCGCCGCCGGCUGCCCACGCCGACUACGACAUCGUCGUCGUCGACGACGUACUACUACUCCCCGGGGACGUCCUCCUCGAUCGGCAUGCAUGUCCAGGAGGAUUAAUUAUUGACAGGCACUAGAUGAGCUAGCUAGCUAGCUAGGGCCAGAAGAUGUAUACUUCUCGCGGGGGCAUGUAAGUACUAAGGUCAUAUAUCUGUGCGUUCUUUUUUGUGGAAUCAAACUAAUUUCGCUAGCUACCCUAAUAUAUAUGUUGUGCUACUGCUCUACCUAUAUACAUGUGUAAUUUGAGGAAUUGAGGCCGCAAAUCAAAACAAAAACUUUUGAGCCGAUUCGAGUUGCAGUUGAGAAAGAAACAGUGAUUAAUUCAGAAAUUAAGAAACAGCCUUGACAUGACCAUGUAGCUUAUUUGCAAAUAAUAAAAAGCAGAAAAU
RNAcentral lists this long non-coding RNA (704 nucleotides) under Zea mays. Its description in RNAcentral is "drought-responsive long non-coding RNA". The record is from RNAcentral. Lineage: Eukaryota; Viridiplantae; Streptophyta; Magnoliopsida; Poales; Poaceae.